AUUGAACGCUGGCGGCAGGCUUAACACAUGCAAGUCGAGCGGGGUGAUGGUGCUUGCACUAUCACUUAGCGGCGGACGGGUGAGUAAUGCUUAGGAAUCUGCCUAUUAGUGGGGGACAACAUCUCGAAAGGGAUGCUAAUACCGCAUACGUCCUACGGGAGAAAGCAGGGGAUCACUUGUGACCUUGCGAUCAUAGAUGAGCCUAAGUCGGAUUAGCUAGUUGGUGGGGUAAAUGCCUACCAAGGCGACGAGCUGUAGCGGGUCUGAGAGGAUGAGCCGCCACACUGGGACUGGAAAACGGCCCAGACUCCUCCGGGAGGCAGCAGUGGGGAAUAUUGGACAAUGGGGGGAACCCUGAUCCAGCCAUGCCGCGUGUGUGAAGAAGGCCUUAUGGUUGUAAAGCACUUUAAGCGAGGAGGAGGCUCUUUUGGUUAAUACCCAAGAUGAGUGGACGUUACUCGCAGAAUAAGCACCGGCUAACUCUGUGCCAGCCGCCGCAGUAA
RNAcentral lists this ribosomal RNA (503 nucleotides) under uncultured bacterium. RNAcentral's name for it is "partial 16S ribosomal RNA". It matches the Rfam family "Bacterial small subunit ribosomal RNA", at positions 30 to 523 of the family's 1533-position model. The record is from RNAcentral.